GACGAACGCUGGCGGCGUGCUUAACACAUGCAAGUCGAACGGUGAUGCUCCAGCUUGCUGGAGUGGAUCAGUGGCGAACGGGUGAGUAACACGUGAGCAACCUGCCCCAGACUCUGGAAUAAGCGCUGGAAACGGCGUCUAAUACUGGAUACGAAACUGGCCCGCAUGGGCAUGGUUUGGAAAGCUUUUCGGUUUGGGAUGGGCUCGCGGCCUAUCAGCUUGUUGGUGAGGUAAUGGCUCACCAAGGCGACGACGGGUAGCCGGCCUGAGAGGGCGACCGGCCACACUGGGACUGAGACACGGCCCAGACUCCUACGGGAGGCAGCAGUGGGGAAUAUUGCACAAUGGGCGAAAGCCUGAUGCAGCGACGCCGCGUGAGGGAUGACGGCCUUCGGGUUGUAAACCUCUUUCAGCAGGGAAGAAGCGAAAGUGACGGUACCUGCAGAAGAAGCACCGGCUAACUACGUG
Molecule: ribosomal RNA, 468 nt
Filed under: uncultured bacterium
Lineage: Bacteria
Description: partial 16S ribosomal RNA
Rfam family: Bacterial small subunit ribosomal RNA
Source: RNAcentral